AUGGCAGUGGUAUUCAUCGGAGGAGCGCGUUUGUCAGUGACAUUUUGGACGCUGUGUGAUUCUCUCAAGCAAGUGAAGGAUAUGAUGGUGUUCAAAUCCCAACUCGGGGAUAUCGAAUCCACUCUGCACUCUUUGGAACCACUGAUCAAGGAGAUGGCAGAGUGUGAGAAGGAGUUGGAUGGUCAAGGGGAGGAGCUAGAGAAUCUUAGUGUGGAAAUGGAAGAAGGAGUGGAGCUUAUUCGCAAGUGCUCGAAAGCGAGCAGGUUCAAGAAGUAUAAGUAUGGCAGCCGGCUUGUUGAAUUGGGUAAGUCACUUCAGAGGCUGUUGGGGAUACUGAAAGUGCAGGGCAUAAGGGAUGUUAAGAAGGCAUUGAUUUCGAUGAGGAAUAUUGAGAAUGUGGUUCAGAGAAUUGAAGGGAAUUGUGUGAUACAGAACAUUCAGUCUGAGAAAAUUGAAGGGUGGUGUGCUGUGCCUGAACCUACGACUGUUACGGUUGGAUUGGAUGUGCCUCUGAGGGAACUGAAAAUGAAGCUCUUUACUUAUGGAGUUUCGAUGGUGAUAGUUACUGCUCCCGGAGGAUGUGGGAAAACUACCCUGGCUACAAAGUUGUGCCAAGAUGCAGAAAUCAAAGAUAAAUUCAAGAGCAAUAUCUUCUUUGUUACUGUCACAAAGAAGCACAACUUAUUUCUGAUUGUCCAAGAGCUAUAUCAUCGAACGGGUGCCCAGGUCCCCGAUUUCCAAAGUGAUGUAACUGCAGUUAGCUGGAUGCACCAAUUUCUGAAGAAAACUGGACAAAAUCCUAUGUUGUUGGUCCUGGAUGAUGUCUGGGCUGGAUCAGAAUUUAUUCUGGAGAAGUUUGAUGAAUUAAAAAUGACAAAUUGCAAGAUAUUGGUUACAUCAAGGUCUAGUUUUCCAAGAUUUGGUUCUCCAUAUUAUCUAGAAUGUUUGAACGAUGCAGAUGCAAUGGCACUUUUUCACCAUGCAGCAUCCUUAGGAGACAGGAGCUCUUAUAUAUCAGAAGAUCUUCCGAGAAAGAUAGUUGAGCGUUGUAUGGGAUUUCCACUAGCAAUUACAGUUCUCGGAAGAUCACUAUGCGGUCAGCCAAUAGAGAUAUGGCAAAAAAGAGUAUUGGAAUGGUCUAGAGGUUCAUCUGUUCUUGAGUCUGAACAUGAUUUGCUUGAUUGCCUCCAAAGUAGCUUAGAUGCGUUGGAUGAAGAGAAGCCUCUUAUCAGGGAAUGCUUCAUCGACCUUGGUUUAUUUCCCGAAGAUCAAAGAAUCCCUGCUACUGUCCUAGUUGAUAUGUGGGCAGAGUUAUAUGGCAUACAUGAAGAUAUUUUGUCAAUUUCACACCUCUAUGAACUUGCCUCUCAAAGUUUGGCUAAUCUGGUGGUCACAAGCAGGAAGGACAACAAGUACAGUGAUGGCUAUUACACUGAACACUUCGUUACACAGCAUGACAUGCUUAGGGAGUUGGCUAUCCGACAGACGAGUCAGGAACCGCUACAACAGAGAAUGAGACUUAUGAUUGACAUAUGUGGAGACAACCUUCCUAUGUGGUGGAAAGAACAAAAGUAUCAAUCCCUCAUCGCUCGUGUAGUAUCUAUCUCGACAGAUGAAGAGUUCUCAUCUACAUGGCAAAACUUGCAACUACCAGAAGCAGAGGUUUUGAUUUUGAAUUUUCAGACCAAGUAUUAUGCCUUACCUGAGUUUGUAGAGAAAAUGAAAAAACUGAAGACUCUAGUACUCACAAGUUGCAGUAGUAGUCCUACCGAGUUGAAUAACUUUCAACUAGUUGAUUCGAUACCAAGUUUAAAGAGAAUCAGAUUGGAGCGAAUAUCACUUCCUUCCAUAAGCAGGUAUCCUAUACAGUUGAAAAGUUUGAAAAAGAUUUCUCUAUUCAUGUGUUGCAUCGGCCAAGGUUUUGGUAACGGUACCAUACAGAUAUCAGAGGCGUUUCCAAAUGUUGUUGAAAUGAAUAUUGACUACUGCAAUGAUUUGGUUGAGUUGCCUGCCCAACUCUGUGACCUUAUACAACUCAAGAAGCUCAGUGUUACCAAUUCUCAUAAGCUCUCUGCCUUACCUGAAGACAUUGGAAAUCUAGUCAAUUUAGAGCUGCUGAGGCUUAGGUCUUGUACAGACUUGUCAGAGUUACCUGGCUCUAUUAGGAACCUCAAGAAGUUGAACUUUCUUGACAUAUCGGAUUGCUUUAGCAUGAAGGAAUUGCCUGAGAACAUUGGAGAAUUGUGCAGCUUAGAAAGGCUCAACAUGAGACAGUGCUCGAGAUUGAAUGAGCUGCCUUCUUCAGUUUUGGAUCUUGAACACUUGAAGGAAGUGACAUGCGAUGAAGAGACAGAAAUUUUAUGGGAACCCUUCUUACCCUAUCUGACAAACAUGCACAUUAAGGUUGUGAAAGAAGAUAUCAACCUCAAUUGGCUCCACAAGUCUCAUUUCUGAGACCUUUCUUUUCGAAAAUAAUAAAUGUUGAAGCAAUGCUGGUAUCAUUCGUCUCAAAGGAACCUCAAUAAGCUGAACUUUCUGGACUUAUCCGAUGAUUAAAGCUGCGCAUGACAUUUGAAAUAUUCACAUUCAGGGAAGCUCAAUAUCAGACAGUGCAGUUGUUGUGGAUCUUUACCUUAAAUUCUAGAACAUAUUUGUUGUUUGUUGUUGUAUUUCUUUUCUGUUUGUUUCUAAUUUUACUUUAUUUUUCCUUUAUUUUGUUCUUUGUUCUGUAAGUUGUACUAGAUAAUUAGUGCAAGAUGCAUUUGAUUCUGCAUUGUAAUAUACUAAUAACAGUGAUAGUAACGUGUGAAGUGUGAACAGCAUCAACCCUGGUUGAAUUUAAAUAAAGGCUAAUUCUU
RNA transcript from Fragaria vesca subsp. vesca, 2858 nucleotides. It is a transcript of the gene named probable disease resistance protein At5g66900-like, with no coding region annotated. The record is from RefSeq and is a predicted model, not a curated record. Lineage: Eukaryota; Viridiplantae; Streptophyta; Magnoliopsida; Rosales; Rosaceae. The transcript has 5 exons.